UGAUAUAUAAUUAAAGAACAU
Caenorhabditis elegans is the source of this 21-nucleotide non-coding RNA. The record is from Ensembl. NCBI's taxonomy places the organism in Eukaryota, Metazoa, Nematoda, Chromadorea, Rhabditida, Rhabditidae.